ACCUACAAAUUCCCAAGGCCACGGCAAGUGGCAAGGUACUCAGUCAGCCCUCCUUUUUUCCACUUGUAGAUCACCUCCAAGGUUCAAUGGUGCUGAAACACAACAGGAAAAAUAAAUAUCCUUAUACGUGAUAGGAUCUAGUUCUUUCUUAACUAACCGAUGCUUUCUUUUUAUUUUAACCUGCCACAUGCGUUGAUAACUCAACAAUGACACAAUGGACAUUGUGAAUAGCCAGUAAAUAAACCCCCAACAAGGAUUUAUAAUGACUUACCUUACUAUCUAUGUGACAU
RNAcentral lists this long non-coding RNA (290 nucleotides) under Coffea arabica (coffee). Its description in RNAcentral is "long non-coding RNA (CARA_LNC000540)". The record is from RNAcentral. Lineage: Eukaryota; Viridiplantae; Streptophyta; Magnoliopsida; Gentianales; Rubiaceae.